Molecule: ribosomal RNA, 567 nt
Filed under: uncultured Actinomycetes bacterium
Lineage: Bacteria; Bacillati; Actinomycetota; Actinomycetes
Description: bacterial SSU rRNA
Rfam family: Bacterial small subunit ribosomal RNA
Source: RNAcentral
UACUCCUACGGGAGGCAGCAGUGGGGAAUCUUGCGCAAUGGGCGAAAGCCUGAUGCAGCAACGCCGCGUGCGGGAAGAAGGCCCUCGGGUUGUAAACCGCUUUCAGAAGGAACGAAACUGACGGUACUUUCAGAAGAAGGUGCGGCCAACUACGUGCCAGCAGCCGCGGUGACACGUAGGCACCAAGCGUUGUCCGGAUUUAUUGGGCGUAAAGAGCUCGUAGGCGGUUCAGUAAGUCGGGUGUGAAAACUUUGGGCUUAACCCAAAGCGUGCAUCCGAUACUGCUGUGACUUGAGUACGGUAGGGGAGCGGGGAAUUCCUAGUGUAGCGGUGAAAUGCGCAGAUAUUAGGAGGAACACCGGUGGCGAAGGCGCCGCUCUGGGCCGAAACUGACGCUGAGGAGCGAAAGUAUGGGUAGCAAACAGGAUUAGAUACCCUGGUAGUCCAUGCCGUAAACGUUGGCACUAGGUGUGGGUUCCAACCAACGGAAUCCGCGCCGUCGCUAACGCAUUAAGUGCCCCGCCUGGGGAGUACGGCCGCRAGGUUAAAACUCAAAUGAAUUGACGG